Magnolia sinica is the source of this 1177-nucleotide RNA transcript. It is a transcript of the gene named dihydrolipoyllysine-residue acetyltransferase component 5 of pyruvate dehydrogenase complex, chloroplastic-like, with no coding region annotated. NCBI's taxonomy places the organism in Eukaryota, Viridiplantae, Streptophyta, Magnoliopsida, Magnoliales, Magnoliaceae. The record is from RefSeq and is a predicted model, not a curated record. The transcript is spliced from 4 exons.
CCCAUUGCACAUAUUUCAACAUGUACAUGGAAGAGUACUGAUAGUCACUUGUGGAUUUUGUAGGUACAUUCACUCUUUCAAACCUUGGUAUGUUUGGUGUUGAUCGCUUUGAUGUAAUUCUGCCUCCAGGAACUGGAGCAAUCAUGGCCGUUGGAGCAUCCCAAAUAACUGCAGUUGCUACCAAGGAUGGCCGGAUUGGUGUGAAAAGUCAGAUGCAGUUUCAAAUACAGAGGUUAUUAUUAUUGCAAAGAAGAUAAAAAGGAUGAUUUCUAGCCCUAGUUUCAGUUGAAGGCAGCCCCGACGUAAUUUCUUCUUAACUGUCUAUUUUAUAGGUAAAUGACGAUAUGGUUAUUUCCACUUUUGCUAUUCAAUGUGAUAAUGCAACCAAAUGCACCCUAAGCCAGAUAAUGACAUAGUCAGAUUUCUAUGCCACUGGUACCUAUCGUUGCUUCAACUGGUGGAUUAGUUGAUACCGUCAAAGAAGGUUUCACCGGAUUCUAGAUGGGAUCCUUCAAUGUUGAUUGUGAGGCUGUCGAUCCUGUAGACGUGACUACAGUUGCCACAACCAUCAAGAGAGCCCUUUCUGUCUACGGCACGCCUGCUUUCACUGAGAUGAUUAAUAACUGCAUGGCCCAAUAUCUUUCCUGGAAGGUGAGUAAAAUUCUAAGUAACCUAUGCUUAGAUGAAUGGAACUUACAAGAAAAGAAACCAUAUGAAAAAUGGAUAUAACCUACACAUUAAACGCUGAUCUGCAAAAUGAUGCCCCAACUUAGUGUAAAUAUCCCUGGUAUUUCAGAAACAUAGUGAGGGAAACUAGUAGAAUAAGGAAGAGGUGUGUAAGAUGGAGGUGGAGAAGCUAGAAGGGAGGGAUUGCAUUGUGGCUUGAUAUUUUGGGGUGGGUUUAGAGUUCAGAAAAUGGUAAAUGCCUGUGGUGUAAGGACGGGUUCUGCUAGGAUAUAUCGUGUGAUGAAUUCCCUUUCUGUACUUUGUCUAGGGAAAUCAGGAGUACACUUGAUAUUUCACUCUCUACUCUCUGUGCUUUUUUCUUGUCUCUACUCACUAUGGCUUGCAGGCUUGUGAUUGCAAAUCCAACCUACUUCUGCUAGAAAACUCCGGGUAAUACAUGUGCCAGCAUGGGUAUGAUGAUUAUGGAAAGUUCGCCUUAAAAAAAAAUCCA